AGCAGCCGCGGUAAUUCCAGCUCCAAUAGCGUAUAUUAAAGUUGUUGCAGUUAAAAAGCUCGUAGUUGAAUUUCGGGACCAUCAUGUCGGUCGUGCCUCGGUACGUACUGGCAUUGUUGGUUUCUCCCUUCUGACGAACCAUGAUGUCAUUUAUUUGGUGUUGUGGGAAAUCAGGACUGUUACUUUGAAAAAUUAGAGUGUUUAAAGCAGGCUCACGCUUGAAUACAUUAGCAUGGAAUAAUGAAAUAGGACGUUUGAUUCUAUUUUGUUGGUUUCUAGGAUCGACGUAAUGAUUAAUAGGGAUAGUUGGGGGCAUUAGUAUUCAAUUGUCAGAGGUGAAAUUCUUGGAUUUAUUGAAGACUAACUACUGCGAAAGUAUUUGCCAAGGAUGUUUUCAUUAAUCAAGAACGAAAGUUAGGGGAUCGAAGACGAUCAGAUACCGUCGUAGUCUUAACCAUAAACUAUGCCGACUAGGGAUCGGAUGAUGUUAAUUUUUAAUGACUCAUUCGGCGCCUUAACC
Molecule: ribosomal RNA, 520 nt
Filed under: uncultured Glomus
Lineage: Eukaryota; Fungi; Glomeromycota; Glomeromycetes; Glomerales; Glomeraceae
Description: SSU rRNA
Rfam family: Eukaryotic small subunit ribosomal RNA
Source: RNAcentral